RNAcentral lists this small RNA (1253 nucleotides) under Pan troglodytes (chimpanzee). RNAcentral describes it as "sense overlapping". Lineage: Eukaryota; Metazoa; Chordata; Mammalia; Primates; Hominidae. The record is from RNAcentral.
AUCAGCUUGAUUGGAGAGGAGAAGGCUGCCAGUGGCCACAGGGGUGCAGCCUGUCCCCUGCAUGGUCCCCACGAUGCAUCAAGAGCUGGGAGCAUCUAGGGGCAAAAUAAGAAAUGAGGCCAGGACUGAGCUCUUCAUUUGCCAGUUUUGACCUGCAAAGCCUGGGGCUGCUUCCCCCUAGCACAGGGGACGGACAGCCCGAAGGACUGUGGGGACAUGCAUCAUGUCAGGUUUCCUUGGGUCCAGGGAGCAGCUUGGCUGACUGGCAGAUGAGGUCAUGGCCACCCCGCUGCUGGCUAACUGCAGCUACUUCUGCCAGCCAGUGGACUACAGAUGGAGCAAGCAUGGAAUGAGGGUAUGGCAGGGAGCAGGAAGCAAGCCUAGAGAGGGUUAGGAGGAACAACUUCAUAACAAUCGGAGGUCAAGGAGGCAUCUUCCUGGAGACAGGAAGGUAGGCAUUGUGGAAUCAGCGGUGCGUAGAACAGUGAGGAUUUGGGGCUGAACCCAGCCCAGGUGGGACAAGCCGUGGCACCAGCCGGACUGCAGUCUGAUGGAACUUCCCCUUCCUGCCCAGCAGAUGGCGAGCGUGUGCUGCUGGUGCCUCUUUCCAAAGGACGUUGAAUUGCUUGACAGGUGUUCCAGGUGUUCUUUACUUUAUGAAUGAAGCCGGAGCAGCCCACCUUCCUGCAUCUCUACCACCAUGGCACCAUGCCCUGUGAUGGGUGGGCUGGAGUCAAAUACGUAGCAGGCAACCAGGGUCAGUUUGUGGCCACUGCUGCCCCCUCUUCCUACAGUCUCCUCACUGAGUGCCCCUUCCCUGUUGGGUUCAACACAUCUGUGCUCCUGUAAGCCCUCAGCCUCCUGGUUCUCUUCCUCAACUUCUACCACCAGACACAUCUGAGAAGCAAGCAAGAGAGGCUGAACUAGGAGCAGGACCCAGGGACUGAAACCAUCACAGCAUCCCCACAGAGAAUUGGGUGGAAGGCAGCGUGGCUUCCAGCUUACUGGUGCUGAGCAGAUUUCUCUGGGUCUCCAUUGUAUCCUCUGAAGGAAGGAGGAGGAUUGCCUUCUGUCCAGAUCUCAGGAUCAAACAAAUAGGUCCAACUUCCUGUGCUCACUUCAGUUAGAGCACUUCUCAUGUGACUUUGUAGCUUUGUGUGCAUCUCCUUCCUCUACUAGACCUAAGCCCCUCACGGGAGGGACUCUCUUAUUCUUGAUGUUCCCCACACCUGGAAUUUCAAUAAACAUCUCAA